UGUUUAGAAGAAAGACUACUCUAAUAGAUUUAAGAUGCCUUACUUCUAAAACAUUAUUUUUGUCUUGAGUUAAUUGCAACCUUAGAGGUAAUAAUAACUCAAGUGAUUUGCCACAUGUUGAAGGUUGUAACAUGUUAAAAGAUAAAGUGGNAAAUUCUUGGGAAGAAAAGUUAGAUUUUGGGCUUUCAAAAAUAGAUGGAGAAAAGUGUAAGGAUAGAAAAUCUCCCCUUAAGAGUCUUGAUUCCAUUGUGGUUGGGGAAGAUAUUUUUCCUAGUUUCUCUUGCUCACUUUCUUCAACUUCUUUUCUUUCAAUUUCUUUCAAUUGUCUUGAUAGAGUAGCUCAAACCAUGGACGUGGUUUGAAUUGCAGCGGAAGAUGUUAACACUCGAACAGAGGCAGCGGAGGAAUUUGCUUGGGGUUUGGCAGCCAUAUGCAAAGAUGAAACAGUGGUUUAGAUGGUGGAUGAAGAGCUGUUUGGAGGAUGAGGUCUCUAGCUCAAACGACCUUCACUGGAAGGAAGCUAGGUGGAGAGGGAAAGCUCAAUUUAGGAUGACUUUUGGACAGAGUUUUGGGCUGGAAAUGCUUCAGCAGAGCAAAACUCAUAUAUAUCAUCAAAAAGUGUUUACAUAAGCUGAUACAAACAAAUUUAUAAUGAAAGACCCAAGCUAUGGACGGUGCAGAUGGUUGUGGAAGAAGCUCAGAUCUCCACACGUGGCAGCGGUGAGGGAUGUGUGUUCUUCUUCUGGAAGAUGCAAGGCAAUGUGCGUGGGCAACCAACGUUCCAGCCAAAUCACGUACCAGAUGUGGUAUGGUGUGAUACAUGUGUAUUCUUCUUGAGGCAGCUCCAUGCUUGCUAUUCUCACCCCCCUUCCCUUUGUGUAAAUGACUUCUUUGUCCUUCUUCUUGGGUUGGAUAGUCCAUGGUGUCCUAGCCUUAUUGGACCCUACAAAACAACCAUAUAAGUAUUAAAAAGAAAUCAUUNUAAGACUUAGAAAAAGAAAAUCAAGAAAAAGUCUUUCUUCACUCCCCUUUCUUAGCCUUAGCUUUAGUUAGUAUUCCUUUGAAUGGAAUGCCCUAAAUGGGUUUCCAUCAUACCCUCCCUCUUGAAAAACGAUUUGUCCUCAAAUCGGGAAGAUAUAAAGAAGCACAACUUUGGUUUGUCACUUUCCUCCUAGAUCAAAAACAUAUCUACAAUAAGCAUCAAACAUAUCUCCAAUUAGUAUUAAUCCAAGAAAGAAUUUUUUUGUGGAAGUAACUUUAGAAUAAGGACUUUGUUUUAUAAUUUUAAGAAAAUUUGAAAGUCCUAAUUCACAAGUCACUUUUCUUUGAGUUUCUUGUAUCCCUAAGGGUGACAAUAACUCAAGAUUUAAAUUGCCAUAUUUUGAAGAAGUUUGCAUUGAAUAUGGAAUGGCAAUUGGUUUGAAAGAGAAAUUAAGAUUUGAAGACUCAACAAUGAUUGAAAAAGAAAUAAAGAAUUGAAAACCUUCCCUUUUAGGUUCCAUGGUUUUUGAAAGAAAGGAAGAUUUCUCCUUUUCUUUCUUCUCUUUUUCUUGCCUUUCUCUAUUCUUUUCUUCUUCUCUUCUCUCUCUUUCUCUUCUCUCUUCUUCUUUUCUUUGCUCUUCUCUCCUCUCUUCUUCUCUUCUUCUCUUCUCUCUAUCUCUCUUUCUCUUUUCUUUUCCUUGAUCUCUUUAANUUUGGCUCCAAAUUCUAGUUCUCUCCUAAGAAACCCAUGAUCAUUUAAACUCUCAAGAAAUAUUUUUCCAUCUUCAAUGUAAUCUCUAAUUAAUUCUAGGUUUCUUUUAAUUCUUGAAGGCACAAACUUUCUCCUCAUGCAAGCUUUUAAAUCAUACCAAUCAUGAAUGGGAGACUUUCUACCUUUCCUAACAUAAUAUUGUCUUUCAUCCCACCAUUCACUUGCAUGUUCUUCUAACUUAGAGAGAUAAAUGCUAAGCACAUAAGACUCACUCUCUCUAUGAAACCAAGGAUUUAUUUUAUCUAUCUCUUGCUCCCAAGCUAGGUAUGUUAAUGCACCUAUGUCUUUGCAAAAGAAUGGAAGAUUCCUAGCUUGAUUAAACUUUUCAUCAACUUUAUCUAACCUAGAAGACCUAUAUGAACUAUAACAAGACAUCUUUGUUCUUAAAAGUUUUCUUAUUCUAAAGGACUAAAAGCUUCCACUUUAAACAAAUCCCAGGUAAGAGAGGUGAACCACUAGAGUUGCUUAAAUACCAAGUCUUUGCAUUAGCCAGAUUUGCCUUAAGCUACUUACUAAUUAUCCUUUAAAAUAAAAUUACUUUUAAAAUCAUAGGACACAAACUCACAAAUAAUCAAACUAGACUCCUAAUAUUCGAACUUCUAAUGUGAUCCCUAAACGUGAAACACAAAUUUAAACACAUAAGAAAAGUUUUGCCAAGAGUUGAAAGAGCACCAAGGACUCUUACAAAACACUUGGACUUUGAAUGGCCUUUUACAAUUUGAAGAAAUCUAACACAAAAAACCUAUUACAAGUCAAAAGUGAACACUACAAUUACAAAAGAAACAAAGAACAGCUGCUGCCAAAGUCUGGCUCUUGUGCAAAAUCCAAGUACUGGACUACUUUUGUAGUCUCCUAGCUUGUGGUUUCAACUCUCCUUUUUCAGUUUUCAACUCUCCUUUUUCAGUUUUCUGCUGCAGCUGAACAUAUUCUCCUUUACUGGUCAAAUCUGCAUAGAGAGUGUAUUUCAAAUUCAGUAGACAACUAACAAUACCAUUAGAAAUCCAUAUCACAAAUUAAGAAUUUUCCCUUUUCGGUUUUCUUGUUGCAGCCUAGAAGAUUCUCCUUUGCCUUUCAAAAUUUGCUCUCGGUUUGGUGCAAUCAUAGGGCUGUUUCCCAGCAAAAUAUGCAGUCUGUAUUUGUUUUGCUAUGACAACACUUGUACCAAGAGAUAAACACAAAAUCCAAAAAGAAAGGUGUUGUUGCUUUCAGAUUUUCCAGAGAAAAACUGCACACAAAGAUCAUGCCAAAAUUCAACAAGAAAUCCAAAAUUAUCACUUAACCAGCAGAAUAGUAAGUGAAUUCAAGUGUAUUAAACUCCCUGCAAAGAUGGAUGCAAUUGCCACUUAUGGUUUAAAUCACAUUGAUCAAACAGUUGGUGAUUCUUGUACAGUGUUGAUAGACACAGUUCUUGUUCAUCCAGGUCUUAAUUCAUGACAAAUCAAUUUCCCACUGUUCAGGCUGUUGCAACUAUUUAUAGGACAUCAUCAAGGAUCAAAUCUGCACAAAAAGAGUUACAUACCCAAAACCAGAAUUGAAAAUCAGUGAACAGAACUGAAACUCCCUAUUUUACUGCCCAAGUUUAUAUGGUAAAUCACUUUUCUCGCAAAAUGGGUGUUUGCAACUAAUCAGCAAAUUUCUCUUGGGUUAUAAACACUUAAACUCAUAACCACUCAACUGUUUGGCUUUUCACUCAGAAUUUAGUGACUCUAGUUCUGAUUUCUCAAUUGUUUUACUCUUAAAAUAUGGUAGAAUUGAUGGUAAGACAGCCUAGACAGACUUUGGUUGGCAAAGUUCAGAAGUAAAACAGUAAAAGAAUUGGGUAGACAGCUUUGGUCGCUCUCAAAAGAAAGUGAAUUAGUUGUGAUUCACGCAAGUCUCCCAACUGCAGGUGUGAGAUCUGCUGCUGCACAGUCAACAAAAGUUGCAGCCCGAGAAAUGGUCACUGCUGCACAAAAAUUCACUCCAAUGUUGAUCUUUCCUUGCUCCAAUCCACUCCCUAAGAUGCUACNAAUGUUGUAGGACGGUCUGAACUAAUUCUGCACCCAAAAUAGAGCUCAAACAAACCACCAUCAAUCAAUUUCGAAUGUAGAAAAACCACUCUGUUGCUGCCAGAAAUUUCGUAGACCAGAAUGCACAACUGGAUUUUUAUCAAACAACUUAUGUGCAGAAUUUUCAAACAAUUGAAAUCAAGAAAUUAAAUGGCUUGCAACGAAGGAUGGCACUCAAAAUGAUCUUAGGAAAGGCUCUAGAGUAGAUUUGCAAAGCAAGAAACAAUUAUAAGUUGCAGAUAUGACCAAUUCAACUCAAACUAAAAAUUAGGAAAAAGUGUUUGAUGAAAUGCCUAAAAGAGCUGCUGGAAAAUAUGCAUCAGAUUUUAAAAGUUGCUUGGCACUGGUUCAUACAGCUUUUUACAAUGCAGUUUAUGGCAAAUUUUGAAUUGUUCGCUUCUUUUUAAUCAAUUGAACCAAGCUUUUGCUACCAAUUUGAGAUGGAAUUUGAUGCAAUAAUCACAGCAACAAAGAUUCACAAAAUUCUGCAACUUAAACCAAAAAAAAGUGUUGAAAAAUUGGUGGUUUGGAUAGCAAUCUUGCACAAACAAGCUUGAACACUUAAUUGUAUGACUUGAGCAACUUUGUUUUAUCAAAUGGAACUUGUUUCAGCUGCCANCCGAGGCUAAACACUUGUAACUCAAAAUUUCACUGUNUGAGUUGCUCUUUAACACCAAAAUUGGUGGUUUGGAUAACAAUUUUGCACAAACGUGUUUAGACUGCCAAUUUAAUGAUUCAAGCAACUUUAGUUUACCAAAAUGGACUUGUGUAAGNUNCCAGCAGAGNNUGGAUGNUAUCAAAUCAAAAUUUNACUCAUUCAGUUGCUCUUUUCACCACAUUUAAGAUAACUAACCAACCAAUUUUCAGCAGAAGAAUCAAUAUGAACAAGUUUUAUGACCAUAGGACAACAAGUCAAAUGUGAACAAGACUCUAGGAAUUACUGAAAAGAGGUCCAGAGGUGAUUUCUAUACUGGANAGAUUUAAAAAUCAUAAAACAACUCAAUCAAAGUGUGUGCAGCUCGGUCCAACUGUUCUAGCAAUUACUUCCGUGUUCUGCUUAAUUUGCAGUUUUCAUAUGAUAUGCACGCAUCUCAUUUGCAGCAACUUAGAUCCAACCAGAAAUGCAAUUGUUCAUACGGCGCAGAUUCAAAUACAAAAUAAUUGAAACAGAUUCAACUACUGUAUUGCUUGGUACUGCACUUGAUGGGAUCAAACUACACUUGAGUUCAUUAGAUCGUUGCUCUUAUGAUGUACAACUAUUGAAUAACCACUCAAAUUAAACAGUUCAUUCCAGGCAUAGAUCUAACUUCAGAAUUUGACAAAUUUGAACCAAUUUAACAUGACUGACAUAACAUAAUCAGAUUUAAAAAUUAAAGACUCAAAGCAAGGAAGUGGACUGAUUAAAAUGAUGGAAAUAAAACAAUUAAAAGCUGGAAACAACAGAAACACAUACUAGAAUCUACGGAAGAUGAGUGAAUCAAUGGAACAGUGCACUAUAGAAGCAAAAACAUGAAGGAACUGUGUUGACAAAUUAGAAUGAAAGAAUAAAUUGACUUAGCUGGAGCGUGAUGCAGAACCUAGGCUCUGAAUACCACUUGAUAGAGUAGCUCCAGCCAUGGACGUGGUUUGAAUUGCAGCGGAAGAUGUUAACACUCGAAAAGAGGCAGCGGAGGAAUUUGCUUGGGGUUUGGCAGCCAUAUGUAGAGAUGAAGCAGUGGUUUAGAUGGUGGAUGAAGAGUUGUUUGGAGGAUGAGGUCUCUAGCUCAGACGGCCUUCACUGGAAGGAAGCUAGGUGGAGAGGGAAAGCUCAAUUUAGAAUGACUUUUGGACAGAGUUUUGGGCUGGAAAUGCUUCAGCAGAGCAAAACUCAUAUAUAUAAUCAAAAAGUGUUUACAUAAGCUGAUACAAGCAAAUUUAUAAUGAAAGACCCAAGCUAUGGAUGGUGCAGAUGGUUGUGGAAGAAGCUCAUAUCUCCACACGUGGCAGCGGUGAGGGAUGUGUGUUCUUCUUCUGGAAGAUGCAAGGCAAUGUGCGUGGGCAACCAACGUUCCAGCCAAAUCACGUACCAGAUGUGGUGAUGGUGUGAUACAUGUGUAUUCUUCUUGAGACAGCUCCAUGCUUGCUAUUCUCACCCCCCUUCCCUUUGUGUAAAUGACUUCUUUGUCCUUCUUCUUGGGUUGGAUAGUCCAUAGCCUUAUUGAACCCUACAAAACAACCAUAUAAAUAUUAAAAAGAAAUCAUUCUAAGACUUAGAAAAAGAAAAUCAAGAAAAAGUCUUUCUUCACUCCCU
This 6091-nucleotide long non-coding RNA is filed under the name Vigna radiata. RNAcentral describes it as "long non-coding RNA (VRAD_LNC011524)". The record is from RNAcentral. Lineage: Eukaryota; Viridiplantae; Streptophyta; Magnoliopsida; Fabales; Fabaceae.